GCGCGUUGCCCAGUCUCCUGCUCCUGUGCCUCCCCAUCUCAAGUGCCGCCUGAUCGCCAUGCUCCAGCGUGGCGCACGGAGGGGGCCUCGUGCCACGCGAGGUCGAGUGCCUCUAGGCCCUCCUGCGACGUCACGACCCGCGGCCCGGAACUGGGGGCGGCAGCGGCGGUUCUGGGGCUGCUCGAUUCCCUCGGCGCCGACGUCAUCACCAACGACCUGGACCUGGGAGCGAGAUGGCCAGCUUCACCGUCACUGUCAAAGAUGGCUACGGUCAAUAGGAGGAUUCAAGGGGUUGGUAAAAUUUGUUGCAUCACCUGGCAUAUGAUGAAGGACGAAGCACGAGACCUUGCCGAUGAAGGGUACUAUGCGUAUUGUCAGGGAGAAGAUGGCAAAGACUGCGGACGAUCUAGAAGAUCUAGGCAAGCUAGCUCAAGAUGGAGUUAUUCCAUCUAUGCUCAAAAUCUUUCUUUCGUUUUUCUACAAUGUUUAAAUUGGUGGUAGUGGAGCUACUCCCUUCUUCACAUUUUUUUUUGUAUAAAGCACUUGUAUAUGCAUGGAGACUCCAUUAGAAGCUUUCUUCUUCCACCAAUUUGAAAGUCAGAAUUAAUAUCC
This is a long non-coding RNA of Brachypodium distachyon (stiff brome), 612 nucleotides long. RefSeq lists it as uncharacterized. The transcript is spliced from 3 exons. The record is from RefSeq and is a predicted model, not a curated record. NCBI's taxonomy places the organism in Eukaryota, Viridiplantae, Streptophyta, Magnoliopsida, Poales, Poaceae.